RNAcentral lists this ribosomal RNA (164 nucleotides) under uncultured bacterium. RNAcentral describes it as "partial 16S rRNA". It matches the Rfam family "Bacterial small subunit ribosomal RNA", at positions 355 to 511 of the family's 1533-position model. The record is from RNAcentral.
UAGGGAAUCUUCCACAAUGGACGAAAGUCUGAUGGAGCAACGCCGCGUGUGUGAUGAAGGGUUUCGGCUCGUAAAACACUGUUGUAAGAGAAGAAUGACAUUGAGAGUAACUGUUCAAUGUGUGACGGUAUCUUACCAGAAAGGAACGGCUAAAUACGUGUCAG